AGUGAACGCUGGCGGCAUGCCUAACACAUGCAAGUCGAACGGCAGCACAGUAAGCGCUUGCUCUUACGGGGGGCGAGGGGCGGACGGGUGAGGAAUACAUCGGAAUCUACUUUUUCGUGGGUGAUAACGAAGGGGAACUUACGCUAAUACCGCAUACGACCUACGGGUGAAAGCAGGGGAUCUUCGUACCUUGCGCGAUUGAAUGAGCCGUUGUCGGAUUAGCUAGUUGGCGGGGUAACGACCAACCAAUGGGACGAUCCGUAGCUGGUCUGGGAGAAUGAUCGGACACGCUGGAACUGGAAGACCGGCCAGACUGCUACGGGAGGCCGCAGUGGGGAAUAUUGGACGAUGGGAGCAAGCAUGAUCCAGCCAUACCGCGUGGGUGAAGAAGGCCUUCGGGUUGUAAAGCAGUUUUGUUGGGGAAGAUAAGCAGCUGGUUAAGAAGAAGAUGUUCUGACGGUACCUGAAGAAUAAGCACCGGCUAACUUCGUG
Molecule: ribosomal RNA, 492 nt
Filed under: uncultured bacterium
Lineage: Bacteria
Description: partial 16S ribosomal RNA
Rfam family: Bacterial small subunit ribosomal RNA
Source: RNAcentral